This 440-nucleotide ribosomal RNA is filed under the name uncultured bacterium. RNAcentral's name for it is "partial 16S ribosomal RNA". It matches the Rfam family "Bacterial small subunit ribosomal RNA", at positions 338 to 795 of the family's 1533-position model. The record is from RNAcentral.
CCUACGGGUGGCAGCAGUGGGGAAUAUUGCACAAUGGGGGAAACCCUGAUGCAGCGACGCCGCGUGAGUGAAGAAGGAUUUCUGUAUUUUAAGCUCCAUUAGUAGGGAAGAAAAUGACGGUACCUGUGUCAGAAGCCCCGUCUAACUACGUUCCAGCAGCCGCGGUAAUACGGAGGGGGCAAGCGUUAUCCGGAUUUACUGGGUGUAAAGGGAGCGUAGACGGAAGCACAAGUCUGAAGUGAAAUGCCGGGGCUUAACCCCGGAACCGCCUUGGAAACUGUGCAGCUAGAGUGCAGGAGCGGUAAGUGGAAUGUAUGGUGUAGCGGUGAAAUGCGUAGAUAUUAGAAGGAACACCAGUGGCGAAGGCGGCUUACUGGACUAUUACUGACGUUGAGGCUCGAAAGCGUGGGGAGCAAACAGGAUUAGAUACCCCUGUAGUC